CCCAUUCCCAAAUCCCAUUCCAAAUCCCAUUCCCAAAUCCCCAGUCCCAUCUCCCCCAUUCCGGGCCCUGUCUGGGAUCCGAGCCCGGCUCCGGGAGGCAGAGCCGGGAGCCGGAUCCAGGAGCCCCGGGAGCCUCCAGAAGUGCCCGGGGCCCAAACCCCAAUCCCAUUCCCAAAUCCCCAAUCCCUUUCCCAAAUCCCAAAUCCCAUUCCCAAAUCCCCAUUCCCAAAUCCCCAAUCCCAAAUCCCCAAUCCCCAAUCCCAAUUCCCCCAUUCCGGGCCCUGUCUGGGAUCCGAGCCCGGCUCCGGGAGGCAGAGCCGGGAGCCGGAUCCAGGAGCCCCGGGAGCCUCCGGAAGUGCCCGGGGCCCAAACCCCAAUCCCAUUCCCAAUCCCAAAACCCCAAUCCCAUUCCCAAAUCCCCAAUCCCAAAUCCCAAUCCCAACUCCCCCAUUCCGGGCCCUGUCGGGGAUCUGAGCCCGGCUCCGGGAGGCAGAGCCAGGAGCCCCGGGAGCCUCCAGAAGUGCCCGGGGCCCAAACCCCAAUCCCAUUCCCCGAUCCCAAUUCCCAAAUCCCAAUUCCCAAAUCCCCUGUCCCAUCUCCCCCAUUCCGGGCCCUGUCUGGGAUCCGAGCCCGGCUCCGGGAGGCAGAGCCGGGAGCCGGAUCCAGGAGCCCCGGGAGCCUCCGGAGCCGCAGGAAGCGCCUGGGAGCCAAAUCCCAUUCCCAAAUCCCAUUCCAAAUCCCAUUCCCAAUUCCCCAAUCCCAACUCCCCCAUUCCGGGCCCUGUCUGGGAUCUGAGCCCGGCUCCGGGAGGCAGAGCCGGGAGCCGGAUCCAGGAGCCCCGGGAGCCUCUGGAAGUGCCCGGGGCCCAAAUCCCAAUCCCAUUCCCAAAUCCCCAAUCCCAUUCCCAAAUCCCAAUCCCAAAUCCCCUGUCCCAAUCCCAAAUCCCGAAUCCCAGCUCCCGCAUUCCGGGCCCUGUCUGGGAUCCGAGCCCGGCUCCGGGAGGCAGAGCCGGGAGCCGGAUCCAGGAGCCCCGGGAGCCUCCGGAGCCGCAGGAAGCGCCGGGGGCUGCGGCGUUUCCUCCCGGAAUGACAAUUCCAGAUGUUCCUCUCCCGGCUCCGGCCGCGCUUCCAAGGAUUUUCCCUCCUCCGGCUGCUGCUCCCGGGGCCGUCCCGGCGGGAUCGGGAGCUGCCGAGCUCCGGCAACGGGAG
Molecule: long non-coding RNA, 1208 nt
Filed under: Cyanistes caeruleus (blue tit)
Lineage: Eukaryota; Metazoa; Chordata; Aves; Passeriformes; Paridae
Description: lncRNA (ENSCCEG00000000798.1)
Source: RNAcentral